This 291-nucleotide long non-coding RNA is filed under the name Gossypium raimondii (Peruvian cotton). Its description in RNAcentral is "long non-coding RNA (GRAI_LNC008466)". Lineage: Eukaryota; Viridiplantae; Streptophyta; Magnoliopsida; Malvales; Malvaceae. The record is from RNAcentral.
CCACUUUUAAUUUUUUUUCAUCGCCACCCUUAGCAUCGCCCUUCACCAUCGUGUCAACCAUUGUGCGCCAUCAUGAAUCAUCACUCAUAUUUAUUUUUUUUCUCUUCUCCUUUCUCCCUUUUUUAUCAAGUGAUCAAAACCCUUUUCAUUUCUUCCUCUUCCGUCAGAUCGCCACCUCUGUCAUCAGACCAUCGUCGUCACUACCGUAGCACUGCCAUCGUCGUCGCUACCGUAGCACUACCAUCGAUGAUUGUGAUUUCUCCUAUUUUCUUCAUCAGUUUUCAACCUACA